Molecule: ribosomal RNA, 492 nt
Filed under: uncultured bacterium
Lineage: Bacteria
Description: partial 16S ribosomal RNA
Rfam family: Bacterial small subunit ribosomal RNA
Source: RNAcentral
AGUGAACGCUGGCGGUAGGCCUAACACAUGCAAGUCGAACGGCAGCACAGUAAGAGCUUGCUCUUACGGGUGGCGAGUGGCGGACGGGUGAGGAAUACAUCGGAAUCUACUUUUUCGUGGGGGAUAACGUAGGGAAACUUACGCUAAUACCGCAUACGACCUACGGGUGAAAGCAGGGGAUCUUCGGACCUUGCGCGAUUGAAUGAGCCGAUGUCGGUUUAGCUAGUUGGCGGGGUAAAGGCCCACCAAGGCGACGAUCCGUAGCUGGUCUGAGAGGAUGAUCGGCCACACUGGAACUGAGACACGGUCCAGACUCCUACGGGAGGCAGCAGUGGGGAAUAUUGGACAAUGGGCGCAAGCCUGAUCCAGCCAUACCGCGUGGGUGAAGAAGGCCUUCGGGUUGUAAAGCCCUUUUGUUGGUAAAGAAAAGCAGCAGGUUAAUACCCCGCUGUUCUGACGGUACCCAAAGAAUAAGCACCGGCUAACUUCGUG